RNAcentral lists this ribosomal RNA (110 nucleotides) under Labrus bergylta (ballan wrasse). The record is from RNAcentral. Lineage: Eukaryota; Metazoa; Chordata; Actinopteri; Labriformes; Labridae.
GCUUACGGCCAUACCACCCUGAACACGCCCUCAUCUCGGAAGCUAAGCAGGGUCGGGCCUGGUUAGUACUUGGAUGGGAGACCGCCUGGGAAUACCAGGUGCUGUAAGCU